AUGGCGUCGUCGCUGGACGCGCCCAACCUCGACGAUUACCUCACCGCGGACUCGCUCCCGCAGGAACCCCCCAGGAGUCUCACCCUGCGCGAUCUGCUGGACAUCUCGCCGGUGCUCACCGAGGCCGCGGGCGCCAUCGUCGAUGAUUCAUUCACACGUUGCUUUAAGUCAAAUUCUCCGGAGCCAUGGAACUGGAACAUCUAUUUGUUCCCAUUAUGGUGCUUGGGAGUAGUCAUAAGAUAUGGACUACUGUUUCCGCUAAGGUUCUUAACACUUAUACUAGGAUGGAUGGCCUUCUUUACUGCCUUUUUUCCCGUGCGUUUCCUAAUGAACGGGAAAAAUAGGCUAAAAAGUAAAAUAGAGAGAAAGCUGGUUGAAAUGAUGUGCAGUGUUUUUGUUGCUUCUUGGACUGGAGUGAUCAAGUACCAUGGACCACGCCCAAGCUCACGACCUUAUCAGGUAUUUGUUGCAAACCAUACAUCGAUGAUAGAUUUUAUUAUUCUGGAGCAGAUGACAGCAUUUGCUGUCAUCAUGCAAAAGCAUCCUGGAUGGGUUGGAUUUAUUCAGAAGACUAUUCUGGAAAGUGUGGGUUGCAUCUGGUUUAACCGUAAUGAUCUCAAGGAUCGUGAAGUAGUUGGAAGAAAGUUACGUGAUCAUGUUCAGCAUCCAGACAACAACCCUCUCUUGAUUUUCCCGGAAGGAACUUGUGUUAAUAAUCAGUACACUGUGAUGUUCAAGAAGGGUGCUUUUGAGCUUGGCUGUGCUGUAUGUCCAAUAGCUAUCAAAUAUAAUAAAAUAUUUGUUGACGCCUUCUGGAAUAGUAAGAAGCAAUCUUUUACAAUGCAUUUGGUUCGUCUUAUGACAUCAUGGGCUGUUGUUUGUGAUGUUUGGUUCUUGGAACCUCAGUAUCUCAGGGAAGGGGAGACAGCGAUAGAAUUUACUGAAAGAGUGAGGGACAUGAUAGCUGCUCGGGCUGGUCUUAAGAAGGUUCCAUGGGAUGGCUAUCUGAAACAUAACCGCCCUAGUCCAAAACAUACUGAGGAAAAGCAGCGCAUGUUUGCUGAAUCUGUGUUGAGGAGACUAGAGGAAAACUAA
RNAcentral lists this ribosomal RNA (1095 nucleotides) under Triticum aestivum (bread wheat). RNAcentral's name for it is "partial small subunit ribosomal RNA". The record is from RNAcentral. Lineage: Eukaryota; Viridiplantae; Streptophyta; Magnoliopsida; Poales; Poaceae.